UACGUAGGGUGCAAGCGUUAUCCGGAAUUAUUGGGCGUAAAGAGCUCGUAGGCGGUUUGUCGCGUCUGCUGUGAAAACUGGGGGCUCAACCCCCAGCCUGCAGUGGGUACGGGCAGACUAGAGUGCGGUAGGGGAGAUUGGAAUUCCUGGUGUAGCGGUGGAAUGCGCAGAUAUCAGGAGGAACACCGAUGGCGAAGGCAGAUCUCUGGGCCGGUAACUGACGCUGAGGAGCGAAAGCAUGGGGAGCGAACAGG
This 254-nucleotide ribosomal RNA is filed under the name uncultured bacterium. RNAcentral describes it as "partial 16S ribosomal RNA". It matches the Rfam family "Bacterial small subunit ribosomal RNA", at positions 524 to 776 of the family's 1533-position model. The record is from RNAcentral.